RNAcentral lists this transfer RNA (87 nucleotides) under Elusimicrobiota bacterium. Its description in RNAcentral is "Elusimicrobia bacterium (groundwater metagenome) tRNA-Ser". It matches the Rfam family "tRNA". Rfam says of the family: Transfer RNA (tRNA) molecules are approximately 80 nucleotides in length. Lineage: Bacteria; Pseudomonadati; Elusimicrobiota. The record is from RNAcentral.
GGAGAGGUGCGUGAGCGGUUUAAACGGCCAGUCUUGAAAACUGGUGAGGGUUUACCCCCUCCGCGGGUUCGAAUCCCGCCCUCUCCG